CCUACGGGAGGCAGCAGUGAGGAAUAUUGGUCAAUGGCCGGAAGGCUGAACCAGCCAAGCCGCGGGAGGGAGGAAGGCGCAGAGCGUCGCAGACCUCUUUUGCCGGGGGACAAAAGGCCGGACUCGUCCGGUCCUGAGGGUACCCGGAGAAAAAGCAUCGGCUAACUCCGUGCCAGCAGCCGCGGUAAUACGGAGGAUGCGAGCGUUAUCCGGAUUCAUUGGGUUUAAAGGGUGCGCAGGCGGGCCUUUAAGCCGGCGGUGAAAUCGCGGGGCUCAACCCCGCCGAGCCGUCGGAACUGGGGGCCUUGCGUGCGGCGGCGGCAUGCGGCAUGCGCGGUGUCGCGGUGACAUGCAUAUAUCUCGCGC
Molecule: ribosomal RNA, 366 nt
Filed under: uncultured bacterium
Lineage: Bacteria
Description: partial 16S ribosomal RNA
Rfam family: Bacterial small subunit ribosomal RNA
Source: RNAcentral